UAGAGUUUGAUCCUGGCUCAGAUUGAACGCUGGCGGCAGGCUUAACACAUGCAAGUCGAGCGGAGAUGAGGUGCUUGCACCUUAUCUUAGCGGCGGACGGGUGAGUAAUGCUUAGGAAUCUGCCUAUUAGUGGGGGACAACAUUCCGAAAGGAAUGCUAAUACCGCAUACGUCCUACGGGAGAAAGCAGGGGAUCUUCGGACCUUGCGCUAAUAGAUGAGCCUAAGUCGGAUUAGCUAGUUGGUGGGGUAAAGGCCUACCAAGGCGACGAUCUGUAGCGGGUCUGAGAGGAUGAUCCGCCACACUGGGACUGAGACACGGCCCAGACUCCUACGGGAGGCAGCAGUGGGGAAUAUUGGACAAUGGGGGAACCCUGAUCCAGCCAUGCCGCGUGUGUGAAGAAGGCCUUAUGGUUGUAAAGCACUUUAAGCGAGGAGGAGGCUACUGAGACUAAUACUCUUGGAUAGUGGACGUUACUCGCAGAAUAAGCACCGGCUAACUCUGUGCCAGCAGCCGCGGUAAUACAGAGGGUGCGAGCGUUAAUCGGAUUUACUGGGCGUAAAGCGUGCGUAGGCGGCUUUUUAAGUCGGAUGUGAAAUCCCCGAGCUUAACUUGGGAAUUGCAUUCGAUACUGGGAAGCUAGAGUAUGGGAGAGGAUGGUAGAAUUCCAGGUGUAGCGGUGAAAUGCGUAGAGAUCUGGAGGAAUACCGAUGGCGAAGGCAGCCAUCUGGCCUAAUACUGACGCUGAGGUACGAAAGCAUGGGGAGCAAACAGGAUUAGAUACCCUGGUAGUCCAUGCCGUAAACGAUGUCUACUAGCCGUUGGGGCCUUUGAGGCUUUAGUGGCGCAGCUAACGCGAUAAGUAGACCGCCUGGGGAGUACGGUCGCAAGACUAAAACUCAAAUGAAUUGACGGGGGGCCCGCACAAGCGGUGGAGCAUGUGGUUUAAUUC
RNAcentral lists this ribosomal RNA (951 nucleotides) under uncultured bacterium. RNAcentral describes it as "bacterial SSU rRNA". It matches the Rfam family "Bacterial small subunit ribosomal RNA", at positions 1 to 952 of the family's 1533-position model. The record is from RNAcentral.